CCUACGGGAGGCAGCAGUGAGGAAUAUUGGUCAAUGGUCGGGAGACUGAACCAGCCAAGCCGCGUGAGGGAGGAAGGUACAGAGUAUCGUAAACCUCUUUUGUCAGGGAACAAAGACUGGGACGCGUCCCCGGAUGAGGGUACCUGAAGAAAAAGCAUCGGCGAACUCCGUGCCAGCAGCCGCGGUAAUUCGGGGGAUGCGAGCGUUAUCGGGAUUUAUUGGGUUUAAAGGGGUCGCAGGCGGGCUGGUAAGUCAGCGGUAAAAGCCCGGGGCUCAACCCCGGCCCGCCGUUGAAACUGGCAGUCUCGAGUUGGAGAGAAGUAUGCGGAAUGCGCGGUGUAGCGGUGAAAUGCAUAGAUAUCGCGCAGAACUCCGAUUGCGAAGGCAGCAUGCCGGCUCCACACUGACGCUGAGGCACGAAAGCGUGGGUAUCGAACAGGAUUAGAUACCCUUGUAGUC
RNAcentral lists this ribosomal RNA (459 nucleotides) under uncultured bacterium. RNAcentral describes it as "partial 16S ribosomal RNA". It matches the Rfam family "Bacterial small subunit ribosomal RNA", at positions 338 to 795 of the family's 1533-position model. The record is from RNAcentral.